RNAcentral lists this long non-coding RNA (955 nucleotides) under Panax ginseng (ginseng). RNAcentral's name for it is "long non-coding RNA (PGIN_LNC013110)". Lineage: Eukaryota; Viridiplantae; Streptophyta; Magnoliopsida; Apiales; Araliaceae. The record is from RNAcentral.
ACUCACUCCCCUUUUAUUUAUCCAAAAAAAAGGCGAUUACAUACAAUGUUCUUUUGGACCUCUUUCUUAUAAUGCUUCUUUUUGCUUUGAGAGGAUGAACACUCACAACCAUAUAUCUGUUAGGUUUAUGAUGAGAAAUAUUAUUAGAUGUGUAUUAUUUAAUGAACUUAUGUUAUUAAUUGUUUUUCCUAGUUAAUGGUAUUUGUAUGGGCGGUUAUUAAUUGUUUUUCUCACCUGGCCCAAUUUAGUUUAUCAAUUCUACAGAAUAUCUCGGUUGUACUAAAAUGUAUUUAAGGAUAUUCUCAAGAUUGUUUGGUAGAGCCCACAACAGUUAUUGGUAUUUAUAUAUUUUGUAUUGAUAUUCUAUUUUGAAAAUGAGUCUUUUAAAAGCUGUUUAGAGUUGGUAUUUUACUGGGUCUUACUUAUAUCUUUUGUUACUUCUUUUAAAACUGGGAAUAGAGUUUCUCUCUCCUUUAUUUAUUUCAGCUAUAGCUAUUUCAAAAUCAAAUAGUUGUUGAAGAUUAUCUCUUAUCUUUCUGGUUAAGCAAAUCUGUUGAGAUCAUGGAUUUAUUCAAACGGGAUUGAGAAUUCUUAGCUAACCAUCUUCUAGCCGUUGCUAGUCUCGCUUUCGGCUGAACAGAUACAACUCUUGAAACUACAAUUCAUUUGAUAUAUUACAUCAGAGAACUUUUGUUGCUUUAUUCCAGUUGUUAUUCUUUUAAAUUCUUUUGAGCUGGAAAUCUGUUGUAUUCUCUAAAUUCUAUCACUUGUAAACCAAUCACAAGCUUAGGUUAGUUUGGUUAUUCUUGGAGUAGUAAAUCUGUUCAAAGAAGGUUUCAAAAAUUGCAGAGGUGCAUUGGUGUCUAAAAUCAAAGUUGAUUUUCUCCGAACAAAGAAGUUUUAUUUGUAAUUAAUUGGGUCUUAAAAGUUUAAUAAAAAGAGUCUUCAAUACCGG